ACGGCCAUACCAUGCUGAAUAUACCGGUUCUCGUUAGAUCACCGAAGUCAAGCAUCAUUGGGCGCUGCCAGUACUUGGGAGGGUGACCACCUGAGAACACCGCGUGCCGUU
RNAcentral lists this ribosomal RNA (111 nucleotides) under Caerostris darwini. Lineage: Eukaryota; Metazoa; Arthropoda; Arachnida; Araneae; Araneidae. The record is from RNAcentral.